RNAcentral lists this long non-coding RNA (218 nucleotides) under Gossypium barbadense (sea-island cotton). RNAcentral's name for it is "long non-coding RNA (GBAR_LNC004087)". The record is from RNAcentral. Lineage: Eukaryota; Viridiplantae; Streptophyta; Magnoliopsida; Malvales; Malvaceae.
UUAACGUCACCUCAUUCGCAAAGAACUUAAUGAGCACAAAAUAAAUAUCAAUUAAAAGAAACUAAAACCUUAUCCAACACCUCAAAUAAACACCGUACUCAAAUCAAAAGAGAAGGAAUUAAAAAGGUAGGCUUCGCGUAAUAGUAAUCUUUAGGAAAAAGAAUGAAGAAAAAGAAUCCAAUCAAGAGUCCAAUAGAAGUUCCAAUCCCAAAACCAAA